Molecule: ribosomal RNA, 382 nt
Filed under: uncultured Nitrosomonas sp.
Lineage: Bacteria; Pseudomonadati; Pseudomonadota; Betaproteobacteria; Nitrosomonadales; Nitrosomonadaceae
Description: bacterial SSU rRNA
Rfam family: Bacterial small subunit ribosomal RNA
Source: RNAcentral
CAGGGGAUCGCAAGACCUUGCGCUAAAGGAGCGGCCGAUGUCUGAUUAGCUAGUUGGUGGGGUAAAGGCUUACCAAGGCAACGAUCAGUAGUUGGUCUGAGAGGACGACCAGCCACACUGGGACUGAGACACGGCCCAGACUCCUACGGGAGGCAGCAGUGGGGAAUUUUGGACAAUGGGCGAAAGCCUGAUCCAGCCAUGCCGCGUGAGUGAAGAAGGCCUUCGGGUUGUAAAGCUCUUUUAGUCGGAAAGAAAGAAUCGCAAUGAAUAAUUGUGAUUUAUGACGGUACCGACAGAAAAAGCACCGGCUAACUACGUGCCAGCAGCCGCGGUAAUACGUAGGGUGCGAGCGUUAAUCGGAAUUACUGGGCGUAAAGGGUGC